Molecule: ribosomal RNA, 465 nt
Filed under: uncultured Klebsiella sp.
Lineage: Bacteria; Pseudomonadati; Pseudomonadota; Gammaproteobacteria; Enterobacterales; Enterobacteriaceae
Description: bacterial SSU rRNA
Rfam family: Bacterial small subunit ribosomal RNA
Source: RNAcentral
CCUACGGGCGGCUGCAGUGGGGAAUAUUGCACAAUGGGCGCAAGCCUGAUGCAGCCAUGCCGCGUGUGUGAAGAAGGCCUUCGGGUUGUAAAGCACUUUCAGCGGGGAGGAAGGCGGUGAGGUUAAUAACCUCAUCGAUUGACGUUACCCGCAGAAGAAGCACCGGCUAACUCCGUGCCAGCAGCCGCGGUAAUACGGAGGGUGCAAGCGUUAAUCGGAAUUACUGGGCGUAAAGCGCACGCAGGCGGUCUGUCAAGUCGGAUGUGAAAUCCCCGGGCUCAACCUGGGAACUGCAUUCGAAACUGGCAGGCUAGGGUCUUGUAGAGGGGGGUAGAAUUCCAGGUGUAGCGGUGAAAUGCGUAGAGAUCUGGAGGAAUACCGGUGGCGAAGGCGGCCCCCUGGACAAAGACUGACGCUCAGGUGCGAAAGCGUGGGGAGCAAACAGGAUUAGAUACCCGAGUAGUC